RNAcentral lists this long non-coding RNA (3126 nucleotides) under Zea mays. RNAcentral describes it as "long non-coding RNA (ZMAY_LNC004980)". Lineage: Eukaryota; Viridiplantae; Streptophyta; Magnoliopsida; Poales; Poaceae. The record is from RNAcentral.
GACGACCGCGGUGAGCCCGCUGGCGCCCAUCGGCUGGGACCCCGGCUGGAGACUAGUUACCGUGACAGUCGAUACGUCGCCGGAUCUGGCAGCGCGGUGUCACGCCCCUGGCCACCGGAAGGUCACCGGCGACGUGAGCCACACCAAUUCGGCGACGAAGCGCCAGGAGCACAGACGCAACUCGAAGCACGAAGGUAAGAAAACUUCUAUUCAGUUCUGUAUUUUUUCUCCCCUCGUUCCAAUGACAGGUUACAGUAUAUAUUGCCUGGUCUAUUGGGCCGGCCCACUCACUGAUCCCUGACUUAACAGCCCAAUUACUUAUACACAAAUCUUGGCUUGAAAGCCCAUCACACCAUUACAGAAUCUCUAUACACUAAUAGCUUCUACUUCCUCGUCAGCGACCAUAGCAGUCAUGACAUCUUCCCCUGCUGCAAAACUUGCUUGCCCUCAAGCAAGAGCAUGUGGAAAUUUCUCCUUAAGCACAUAGCCUUCAGUUGUAUCCAAGCAGCCCUCACUAAAUCCACAAUCCCGUUGAGCACCAGUACAACCAAUACCAUAUUGUUAUACUCAUAUCGUGCUGUACAGGGAAAACAACCCCCAAUUUUCCACAGUCGAGGAUGAUCCUGGAUAGCAAACAAGUAUUGCUGCUCUUCUUUCUCUUGCUCAGUAACUGACCACUGCUCUCCGAACUGCUCCACCAUAGUUUGCAGACCGAUCCACCAUGCUUCCGCUGCGCUUACAGAACACUCCCACACCAUUGAAUCAUGAAAGCUUCGAAUCAAUUUAGUGCUGAAUGUUGAGCUCCUGCCCACCCAAAAUGGAGGAAGUCUUCUAGUCUUGUCCUUCUGCACUGAGAACACAUUCCCAUAUGGAAUGUAAAUGGUCACUCUCGGCCACAAAUCCUGAACAAAAGCAUCAGUCGCUAUAUUCUCCUUGCCUCUAUCAUACACCAUUCUGAACUGUAAGCCCAUUAAUUUGUUCAUGAAUUUUUGUUGAGUGUAUGGCUGAGACUGAACUGCCAUAGCACCGUUUCCUGGGCUAAAACCAGUUAGCCACCAUUGUGUCAGUUCAGAUAUCCCAUGUCGAAAACUACCUUUGUUUUGCCUCCCCUCAAAGAUCAACACAUUCUUGCAUUCCAAUCUCACCUCUUGCCCGGUACAUGCUUCAUAUAGAACAAGCAUGAAAUUAUCCUUAGUAAAGGGUGCUGCCCAGUUGGAUACAUGAGCAAAUGAGCCAUUUAGAAUAGCUUGAUCUCCGCACUGGUUAGAACAAAUGAAAAUAAACUGGUCUGCAUCCUGCCUACCAAAUGAGGACACUGGUAUACCAUUUAUCCAGGCGAUUCCAAGCGCAACCAAGCUUCUGUAGGAGAUUUCUGGUGCAAGAUGUUUUAAAACCUGUGCUGCCCAUUUUUGCAUGGUUAUCCAUACUUCAAAAGUAGAAGCUUCGCAAGCCACACCCAUGGAUGGCCAAGGCUCAAAUGAAGAUGGCUUGAUAUCCUCAUUAUUCAAUAGAACACAAACUAACUGCCUCUUCUCAAUAAUUUCAUUCUUGAUACGGCUCCCUAGAAGCUGAUCACCAAAACAAGUUUGGGCACUGCCAGAAACAAAAUACGCCACAUGUGCAGAACUGCAAGUUGUGAUUUCGCAGCGCAUUGUAGCAACUCCAUGUGAAAGAUCUUCAGCUUGAAGGGGUGGAUGAGCACUGGCUCGGUUCUGAAGUUUACUCGCACAAAUCUCAAUAUUCAAGAGUGCAUUCAAGCCAUCUUUUAGUGUGCCCAAUAAACAUGCAUCUAGGGUGCAUGGUACUCCACAGAGAAGAAAUUCCAGGUUCAUGUCUUCAUCAUGUAUUCUUAUAGCUGAAAAACCUUCAAAACAGCCUUCUUCCUCAUCCACUUCAUCUGUCAUAACCUCAAGUAUGUCGCUACCCACAACCUCUUCUUCAUGAUCAUCAACCCCAGCGACGCCUACAAUCUCGCCUGCACCAUUAGUUUCAUUGAUUGAUUCUGGAGCCAAUUCUUGAGAAAGGAUACCGCCAGCACUAGUAGCAUCAACAUUUUUAGCAUCCUGCUUAGGGUCAUCCUCAAGCACACUGACCACACUAGCAGGAAUAAACUCAUCCCUGUUUCCUCCAUUCAUAACCACGGCGGUUGCCUCAUCUUCAACGUCACCCUCCUUCUUAGCUGAUUCUUUUAAGGCUUCUUCACCUUGAGCAAGCUGCUGCAGUAAUCCUUCAUGCGUGUGAGUUUCAGCUUGCAUCUCCCCAUCCCAUGCCACUGGAAGACCCAUUUCACUGGACAUUGAGUAUGUACUUACUUGCUGUGACAUUCCAACAAACAACCAUGGGGCAUCAGGCACAGCAUCCUGCUUGCAAUCGUUGGGCAUCUGGUUCCCCACUCCAUGAGCUAGACGCUGACAAAAACCAAGUGAAUCGGAACCAAGUAACACUUCUUCAUCCCAGAUCACCUUCUCAGCAGAUGUUUCAUCGAACGCUGAAUAACCAGAACCUCCAAAGCACCUUGGAAGGGCAAUGACCUCCUCACUGCAGUAGGGGGGCAUUUCAUCGAACACAGGAGGGGCCAUACCUCCAAGCAGAACUGGGAUGUUCCGCCCAGCUGCUUCCACGUUGCACGUAUGAUCGUGCAUACCCUUCUGCUUCACCUCCAUCGCCUCCAACCUACUGUCGAGGCGACCCAGGACCCGCAUCACCUUGUCCCAUCGUUCCUCGCCCUUCUGCUCCGAUGUCGGCAUCGCAGCGAGCAGGAUGCUUGUCUGAGCGGACGGCAUCACCAACGGCGUUGUAGCGAGGAAACGCCGCAGAUCGUCGAUGGAGAACGAAGCCUGCGCCGACGACCCAGCCGAGUGAACGACACCCAAGCAACCCGUCGAACAGGUUGCAGGCUCUGUUUCUCUCGCCACCACCCCACGCUUCCACUUUGCCGCCAGGAACACCAAGCCUCCGCCACCGCCGAGGACCAGAGCUUUGAUACCACUUGUCACGCCCCUGGCCACCGGAAGGUCACCGGCGACGUGAGCCACACCAAUUCGGCGACGAAGCGCCAGGAGCACAGACGCAACUCGAAGCACGAAGGUAAGAAAACUUCUAUUCAGUUCUGUAUUUUUUCUCCCC